UAGGGAAUCUUCCACAAUGGACGAAAGUCUGAUGGAGCAACGCCGCGUGAGUGAAGAAGGUUUUCGGAUCGUAAAGCUCUGUUGUUGGUGAAGAAGGAUAGAGGUAGUAACUGGCCUUUAUUUGACGGUAAUCAACCAGAAAGUCACGGCUAACUACGUGCCAGCAGCCGCGGUAAUACGUAGGUGGCAAGCGUUGUCCGGAUUUAUUGGGCGUAAAGCGAGCGCAGGCGGAAAAAUAAGUCUGAUGUGAAAGCCCUCGGCUUAACCGAGGAACUGCAUCGGAAACUGUUUUUCUUGAGUGCAGAAGAGGAGAGUGGAACUCCAUGUGUAGCGGUGGAAUGCGUAGAUAUAUGGAAGAACACCAGUGGCGAAGGCGGCUCUCUGGUCUGCAACUGACGCUGAGGCUCGAAAGCAUGGGUAGCGAACA
This 427-nucleotide ribosomal RNA is filed under the name uncultured bacterium. RNAcentral describes it as "bacterial SSU rRNA". It matches the Rfam family "Bacterial small subunit ribosomal RNA", at positions 355 to 774 of the family's 1533-position model. The record is from RNAcentral.